This 642-nucleotide ribosomal RNA is filed under the name uncultured archaeon. RNAcentral describes it as "bacterial SSU rRNA". It matches the Rfam family "Archaeal small subunit ribosomal RNA", at positions 44 to 673 of the family's 1478-position model. The record is from RNAcentral.
AUAAGCCAUGCAAGUUGAAUGGGAUACCUAAAUUUUCCAUAGCAAACUGCUCAGUAACACAUGAUCAACUUGCCCUAUGGAGAAAAAUAACCUCGGGAAACUGAGGAUAAUAUUUCAUAGUUGAAUAGGCUUGGAAAAGUUUUUCAAUGAAAAGGAAAAGAUAAAUGGUUCUUUUCUGCCAUAGGAUAGGAUCGUGGUCGAUUAUGGUAGUUGGUGAGGUAAUGGCUCACCAAGCCGAUAAUCGAUAGGGGCCGUGAGAGCGGGAGCCCCGAGAUGGGUACUGAGACACCGACCCAGACCUUACGAGGUGCAGCAGGCGCGAGACCUCCGCAAUACACGAAAGUGUGACGGGGUUACCCAAAGUGUUCAUUUUUGAACUGUGGUAGGUGAGUAAUGUCCCCUACUAGAAAGGAGAGGGCAAGGCUGGUGCCAGCCGCCGCGGUAAAACCAGCUCUUCAAGUGGUCGGGAUGAUUAUUGGGCUUAAAGUGUCCGUAGCCGGUUUAGUAAGUUCCUGGUAAAAUCAGGUAGCUUAACUACCUGUAUGCUAGGAAUACUACUAUACUAGAGGGCGGGAGAGGUCUGAGGUACUACAGGGGUAGGGGUGAAAUCUUAUAAUCCUUGUAGGACACCAGUGGCGAGGC